GGACAAUCCGCAUUUAUCUCGCAGGCCCCUGAGAAUUUCCCCCUCCCACACCCGGGACAAUGAGAAUUUGGCUCCUUCUGUGUUUCGUUGCAGCAGCUCUGAAAGGUGUCCGGUGCCAAGUGCUGGUGGAGUCCGGAGGGGAUGUGAAGAAGCCCGGAGACUCUCUGCGCCUCUCCUGCAAAGUCUCCGGCUUCACCUUCAGCAGCCUCUAUAUGGACUGGGUCCGGCAGGCUCCUGGGAAGGGGCUUGAAUGGGUCGCUUAUAUAAACCCCAGUUUAUGGAUCGCAUACGCGGAUUCCGUGAAAGGCCGAUUCACCAUCUCCAGGGACAAUUCCCAGAGCACGUUGUACCUGCCAAUGACCGGCCUGAGGCCCGAGGACACCGCCCGCUAUUACUGUGCGGGAGACACAGCGACACGAAACAGGUUUCUGAUCGUGCAAGAACUCAGGCUGAGGAACCGCCCUUCCCCCGGCAGCCGCGAGGGGGCAGCAGAGACACACGGGCCGCUCCGGGCUGGGGCUGGGGACCCGGCAAGCGGGUGA
Non-coding RNA from Pelodiscus sinensis (Chinese soft-shelled turtle), 542 nucleotides. Lineage: Eukaryota; Metazoa; Chordata; Testudines; Trionychidae. The record is from the annotation of a RefSeq genome assembly.